Molecule: non-coding RNA, 1341 nt
Organism: Camellia sinensis
Lineage: Eukaryota; Viridiplantae; Streptophyta; Magnoliopsida; Ericales; Theaceae
Source: RefSeq, a predicted model, not a curated record
AUCUAUAAAUGUAAAUAUACAUUUGAAUCUAGUUCCUAUAACAUAUUCUUUAGUAUGGACACGAGGUGCAUUGCUUUGGAAUGAUGACCUUAUUUAUUUGCUGUAUGCUGGGAUAUGAUUUUUUUCAUGUUGAGCUGAAUAAUACAUUUAGAUUAAUGGCCUAGAUUGGUGAACAUUUUUCAAUUGCUAGUUUUAAUUUAUAUGAUUUUCUCUGUUUAAGUGCCUAUAUGACUGGUAAUUAUGUGUUUAAAAAAAAAGGGGGAAAUACGUUUGGUCUGAUUCAAUAGGAUCAUCCAAGUCCACAAGCAAACUAGAAAUGCAACGACAACUUAACUGUGUAGAUGAAUCUCAGUAAUUGGAAUCGGGAGAUCCAUGUAUGUCGAAUUGGACAGGGGUUUUGUGCUUCAAUAUGAUCAUGGAUGAUGGCUAUCUACACGUUGAAGAAUUGCUACUACAGAAUAUGAAUCUGUCAGGCAGUUUAUCUCCAGAGCUUCAUCGCUUAUCUUAUAUGAAAAGAUUGAAUGUUAUGUGGAAUAAGAUAAGUGGAAAUAUACCGAAGGAGAUUGGCAAUAUUACAUCUUUGAUACUCUUGCUCUGAAGUGGAAAUCAACUCACAGGUUCCUUGCCUGAAGAGAUCGGUUAUCUUCCUACUUUAGACAGAAUUCAAAUUGACGAGAACCAAAUAUCUGGUCCAAUACCUAAAUCAUUUGCGAACUUGAACAAAACAAUGCAUUUCCACAUGAAAAACAAUUCAAUUAGUGGGCAAAUCCCUCCUGAACUGUCUAGUCUCCCAGAACUUGUUCACUUGCUACUUGACAAUAACAACUUAUCAGGGUACCUUCCGCCAAAGCUUGCCAAUAUGCCUAAACUACAGAUAGUGUAUGUUUUCUUGCUUCUGUGGUUAUUAGAAUACAAUUUUCACUUUAUUAGCUUUUAAAAUUUUGCAUUUUCUUAAUUAGUUAACUCAAAAUGCUUUUUACAUUUUUGCAAAUAUCACUUUAUAUUUAUUGUAUAUACUACUUGAAUAUAUAUAUAUAUAUAUAUAUGAGAAUAUAGGUUGCUAAAACAUUGUAGGUAUUUUAUUUAUUUAUAUUUUUUUUGCGACGGUAACAAGAUGGUCGCUAAUACAUUGUAGGUAUUUUUUUAAUUUUUUUGCGACGGCAAAAUAUUAGUCGCGAUAAGUAGAUUAGGCGGUCGCAAAUAGUUUGCGACUGCUAUUUUGCGGUCGCAAAAAGUAUUUGCCACCCCCACAUUCGCGACCCCCAUUUGCCGUCGCAUGGGCCGUCGCAAAAAGUCUUUUGCGACUGUUUUUUAUUAUUUGCGACGGUUUAUAGCGGUCGC